UUAAGUGACUAAGCGUACACGGUGGAUGCCUUGGCAGUCAGAGGCGAUGAAAGACGUAGUAACUUGCGAUAAGCCCAGAUUAGGUAGUAACAACCAUUUGAGUCUGGGAUUUCUGAAUGGGGAAACCCACGUGCAUAAGCACGUAUCCUUACCUGAAUACAUAGGGUAAGGAGGCGAACCGGGGGAACUGAAACAUCUAAGUACCCCGAGGAAAAGAAAUCAACCGAGAUUCCGAAAGUAGCGGCGAGCGAAAUUGGACUAGCCCUUAAGCUUUACACGCGUUAGACGAACGGUCUGGAAAGUCCGACGAUACAGGGUGAUAGUCCCGUAGUUGACGACGUGUGUUCAGUGAAAUCGAGUAGGGCGGGACACGUGAUAUCCUGUUCUGAAUAUGGGGGGACCAUCCUCCAAGGCUAAAUACUACUGACUGACCGAUAGUGAACCAGUACCGUGAGGGAAAGGCGAAAAGAACCCCUGUGAGGGGAGUGAAAUAGAACCUGAAACCGUGUACGUACAAGCAGUAGGAGCAGGCUUUGUCCUGUGACUGCGUACCUUUUGUAUAAUGGGUCAGCGACUUAUAUUCAGUGGCAAGGUUAACCAUCUAGGGGAGCCGUAGGGAAACCGAGUCUUAACUGGGCGUUCAGUCUCUGGAUAUAGACCCGAAACCAGGUGAUCUAGCCAUGGGCAGGUUGAAGGUUGAGUAACAUCAACUGGAGGACCGAACCGACUAAUGUUGAAAAAUUAGGCGGAUGACUUGUGGCUAGGGGUGAAAGGCCAAUCAAAACCUGGAGAUAGGCUGGUUCUCCCCGAAAGCUAUUUAGGUAGCGCCUCGGACCGAAAUACUACUGGGGGUAGAGCACUGUUAAGGCUAGGGGGUCAUCCCGACUUACCAAACGCCUUUGCAAACUCCGAAUACGCAGUAAGUAGCUAUCCGGGAGACACACGGCGGGUGCUAACGUCCCGUCGUGGAGAGGGAAAACAACGCCAGACCGCCAGCUAAGGUCCCAAAUUACUACUAAGUGGGAAACGAUGUGGGAAGGCUCAGACAGCCAGGAUGUUGGCUUAGAAGCAGGCCAUCAUUUAAAGAAAGCGUAAUAGCUCACUGGUCGAGUCGGCCUGCGCGGAAGAUGUAACGGGGCCUAAGUAGUAAAACCGAAGCUGCGGCAAUGUGGCUUUUGCACAUUGGGUAGGGGAGCGUUCUGUAAGCGGUUGAAGGUGUGUGGUAAUACGCAUGCUGGACGUAUCAGAAGUGCGAAUGCUGACAUGAGUAACGAUAAAGGGGGUGAAAAACCUCCUCCAGCCGGAAGACCAAGGGUUCCUGUCCAACGUUAAUCGGGGCAGGGUAAGUCGACCGCCCUAAGGCCGAGGCCGAAAGGCGUAGUCGAUGGGAAACGGGUUAAUAUUCCCGUAGCUUCUUACAAUUGCGAUGGGGGAGACGGAGAAGGCUAGGUGGGCCUGGCGACGGUUGUCCAGGUUCAAGUGCGUAGGCUUGAGAGUUAGGUAAAUCCGGCUCUUUUUAAGGCUGAGACACGACGUCGAGCACCUACGGUGUGAAGUCAUUGAUGCAUGCCUUCCAGGAAAAGCCUCUAAGCUUCAGAUUGUAAGGAAUCGUACCCCAAACCGAACACAGGUGGUCGGGUAGAGAAUACCCAAGGCGCUUGAGAGAACUCGGGUGAAAGGAACUAGGCAAAAUGGUACCGUAACUUCCGGGAGAAGGUACGCUCUCGACGGUGAAGUCCCUCGCGGAUGGAGCUAUUGAGAGUCGCAGAUACCAGGUGGCUGCAACUGUUUAUUAAAAACACAGCACUGUGCAAAAUCGUAAGAUGACGUAUACGGUGUGACGCCUGCC
RNAcentral lists this ribosomal RNA (1849 nucleotides) under Vibrio parahaemolyticus VP-NY4. Its description in RNAcentral is "bacterial LSU rRNA". It matches the Rfam family "Bacterial large subunit ribosomal RNA", at positions 1 to 1863 of the family's 2925-position model. The record is from RNAcentral. Lineage: Bacteria; Pseudomonadati; Pseudomonadota; Gammaproteobacteria; Vibrionales; Vibrionaceae.